Paramuricea clavata is the source of this 264-nucleotide non-coding RNA. The record is from the annotation of a GenBank genome assembly. NCBI's taxonomy places the organism in Eukaryota, Metazoa, Cnidaria, Anthozoa, Malacalcyonacea, Plexauridae.
AAUUUUUGGAAAAUUGACAACGUUGUCGGAAAUUGUCAAAGUUUCCGACGUUGGUAAAUUCGGAAAUUUUUUGAUAAAUGGAGAAAAUGGGUGAUGUCCGGAAAAAUUUUAAGAUGUAACGAAAAAUUUUGGUAUGUCCGGAAAAAUUUUUUGACCCCUAAAAUGGUACACUGACCGAAAUUUUUUUGGCGCCGGGGGGGGUGGUGGAGGUCGCCAAAAAAAAUUUUGUCGGAAACUAUUUUCAGGUUUGUCGGAAAGUACAGC